Cynoglossus semilaevis (tongue sole) is the source of this 2168-nucleotide RNA transcript. It is a transcript of the gene named protein O-fucosyltransferase 4, with no coding region annotated. The transcript has 7 exons. NCBI's taxonomy places the organism in Eukaryota, Metazoa, Chordata, Actinopteri, Pleuronectiformes, Cynoglossidae. The record is from RefSeq and is a predicted model, not a curated record.
UGCAAAUUGAAAUCGUAGAAGAAGAAUGCAGACGUGUUUAUUAUGAUCAGCGUCUGCAGCAUCCCGUUAUCACAAUCGCUCUCCGUCUGCGCCAACUUCAACAGGAACAAAAUAUUUUUUUCACAGAAAAGAGACAACUUUGACUUCAUGUUUUAACAACAACAACGACGAUGGCCGGCAGGGGCAGGCUGGUGUCCUGUCUGUGUCUGGGGCUGUUUGGUGUGCUCUGCUGGGUUUGGGUCUCCUUUGCCUCCCUACCUGAUGGUCAUCUUACUCUGGAGGACUUGGAUACAGUGGACCGAGGAGCCUUCUUGCCCCAGAGUGCUCUGUCUGAGAUGGAGUUUUCCUCCAUUAGUUCAUACAGGGGACCUGGUAAUACGGACCGCCGCAGCAACAAAGAGCUUCCCAUUAUCCUGUGGUGGAGCGGGGGGCUGUUCCCACAUUUCCCAGGAGACACUGAACGCAUCGACUGUGCCACAUCCUCCUGUCUGGCGACAAGUAAUCGCAAGGUCCAACUUUACAAGCGGACAGCAUCCAUCAUCUUUUACGGGACAGACUUCAGGGCAUACGAGGCACCGCUUCCUCGUCUCCGUCACCAGACAUGGGCACUGUUUCACGAAGAGUCGCCGAUGAACAACUACAUCCUCUCUCAUGGACCGGGAAUCAGACUGUUCAACUACACGGCCACCUUCCGCAGGGAGUCCGACUACCCUCUGUCCCUGCAGUGGCUGCCCUCUCUGGACUACCUGCUGCAGCCUACAUCGGUGUCCCUGCAGGAGAAGAACCGUCUGAGGAGGGAAGGACUGGCUCCUGUGUUGUACAUGCAGUCCCACUGUGAUGUACCGUCAGACAGAGACAGAUAUGUCCAGGAGCUCAUGAAGUACAUCCAGAUUGACUCUUAUGGAAAAUGCCUCAACAACAAGGCUCUACCUGAGCACCUGGAGGACACAGCCACCGCUACUGGCGAGGAACCCGGGUUCAUGAAUUUCGUAGCACGCUACAAGUUCCACCUGGCUCUGGAGAACGGCCUGUGUCCAGACUACAUGACGGAGAAGCUGUGGCGACCCCUCCAUCAGGGAUGUGUCCCCAUCUACAGAGGGUCUUCAGUGGUGGCAGACUGGAUGCCAAAUGACCACAGCGCCGUAAUCAUAGACGACUUUGCGUCGCCGAAAGCUCUCGCCGACUUCCUCAAACGCCUGGAUGAGAACGAUGAUGAAUAUGUGAAAUACCUAGAGUUCAAAAAUCCCAGACGUGUAACCAACGUACGUUUGCUGGAGGCUCUAGAGACCCGUGAGUGGGGGGUCAACGACAUGAGCAAACCAAACUACCUGAACGGGUUUGAAUGCUACGUGUGCGACAGAGAAAAUGCACGGCUGGCCGCGGAACGAGCGUACAGGAGAGCACCUAAAAAGAACAAACCACCUCAGCCCAGAAUGGCAGAUAACUCCCACCUGGGAUGCCCCCUGCCCAGUCCUGGAUUUGGAGACGUCCCCGAUUUACCUGCAAAUGAUGGAUGGCUUCAAACAUGGCCUCAGGAUUACUGGCACAGUUUGGACCAAGCAGAGGGGCUGGAGUCUCUAAUAAGACAUAACGAGUCGGAUCCUUCACUGCUCUGGAAGCACAUCCAAAACAUAGCUGUGAGCAGAGCCAGGGAUGCACGUUCUCAUUGGAUUGAAGCCGAGCCACAGACCCGUUCUCGGUACCAGGGGAGCUCUGCCUAACUGUGUGUGAAGACCAUCAAGGCUGCAGCCAAUGAACUCUAUUAGCUUCUUUUUUUUUUACAGUAACUCUGCAGGUAGCUGAUGGGUAUUAUUAGCUACAGUCACAUUUAUGUACACAGCAAUUUUUUUAGUGACUAUGCAAGGAGAAUAUUUCACCGGUGAGUGGAAAAAGGCCAAUGUAAAGUUAAGCACAACUCCCAGUGGGAAAUCAUGUCGUUCUCAGGAACAGCUCAGCUAAUAAAAGUCAGCGCUACACACUCCGUACUAAAUUGUUAAACUGUUUCCCCCUUUUUUUACUCAGUACAAUCAUUGUUUUUGUGCAAUCUUUGUCGUCGUGUUUUGUAUCUCAAGGGUUUUUUUUGUUUGUUUAUUUUGUUAACAAACCUCCAUACAUAUGAUCACACUAUUUUGUAUCAAGAAGAAAGUAAGUAAACAUUUUGUAACAAA